This 30-nucleotide non-coding RNA is filed under the name Mus musculus (house mouse). Lineage: Eukaryota; Metazoa; Chordata; Mammalia; Rodentia; Muridae. The record is from RNAcentral.
UGCCUUCUCAGCUUGUCAGAACCACUUUGU